GGCAGGGUGGUGUAGUGGUUUGAGUGUUGGACUAUGAAUCUGGAGACCAGGGUUUAAAUCCCUUUUCAGCCA
Phrynosoma platyrhinos (Desert horned lizard) is the source of this 72-nucleotide non-coding RNA. The record is from the annotation of a GenBank genome assembly. Lineage: Eukaryota; Metazoa; Chordata; Lepidosauria; Squamata; Phrynosomatidae.